GACGAACGCUGGCGGCGUGCUUAACACAUGCAAGUCGAACGGAAAGGCCCUGCUUUUGUGGGGUGCUCGAGUGGCGAACGGGUGAGUAACACGUGAGUAACCUGCCCUUGACUUUGGGAUAACUUCAGGAAACUGGGGCUAAUACCGGAUAGGAGCCCCUGCUGCAUGGUGGGGGUUGGAAAGUUUCGGCGGUUGGGGAUGGACGCGCGGCUGAUCAGCUUGUUGGUGGGGGAGUGGCUUACCAAGGCUUUGACGGGUAGCCGGCCUGAGAGGGUGACCGGCCACAUGGGUACUGAGAGACGGACCAGACUCCUACGGGAGGCAGCAGGGGGGAAUAUUGCACAAUGGGCGGAAGCCUGAGGCAGCAACGCCGCGUGCGGGAUGACGGCCUGCGGGUAGUAAACCGCUUUAGCCUGUGACGAAGCGUGAGUGACGGUAAUGGGUAAAGAAGCACCGGCUAACUACGUG
Molecule: ribosomal RNA, 468 nt
Filed under: uncultured bacterium
Lineage: Bacteria
Description: partial 16S ribosomal RNA
Rfam family: Bacterial small subunit ribosomal RNA
Source: RNAcentral